UUACGGGAGGCAGCAGUGGGGAAUUUUGCGCAAUGGGGGAAACCCUGACGCAGCAACGCCGCGUGAGUGAUGAAGGCCUUCGGGUCGUAAAGCUCUGUCAGAGGGAAAGAAAUGCAGGGUGGCUAAUAACCGCUUUGCUUGACGGUACCCUCAAAGGAAGCACCGGCUAACUCCGUGCCAGCAGCCGCGGUAAUACGGAGGGUGCAAGCGUUGUUCGGAUUUAUUGGGCGUAAAGCGCGUGUAGGCGGUCUUUUAAGUCUGAUGUGAAAGCCCCGGGCUCAACCUGGGAAGUGCAUUGGAUACUGGGAGACUUGAGUACGGGAGAGGGUAGUGGAAUUCCCAGUGUAGGAGUGAAAUCCGUAGAUAUUGGGAGGAACACCGGUGGCGAAGGCGGCUACCUGGACCGAUACUGACGCUGAGACGCGAAAGCGUGGGGAGCAAACAGGAUUAGAUACCCCGGUAGUCCG
Molecule: ribosomal RNA, 467 nt
Filed under: uncultured bacterium
Lineage: Bacteria
Description: bacterial SSU rRNA
Rfam family: Bacterial small subunit ribosomal RNA
Source: RNAcentral